UACGAAGGGGGCUAGCGUUGUUCGGAUUUACUGGGCGUAAAGCGCACGUAGGCGGAUCGAUCAGUCAGGGGUGAAAUCCCAGAGCUCAACUCUGGAACUGCCUUUGAUACUGUCGAUCUGGAGUAUGGAAGAGGUGAGUGGAAUUCCGAGUGUAGAGGUGAAAUACGUAGAGAUUGGGAAGAACACCAGUGGCGAAGGCGGCUAUCUGGACGGUUUCUGACGCUAAGACGCGAAAGCGUGGGGAGCAAACAGG
This 253-nucleotide ribosomal RNA is filed under the name uncultured bacterium. Its description in RNAcentral is "partial 16S ribosomal RNA". It matches the Rfam family "Bacterial small subunit ribosomal RNA", at positions 524 to 776 of the family's 1533-position model. The record is from RNAcentral.